Molecule: long non-coding RNA, 813 nt
Organism: Corvus hawaiiensis (hawaiian crow)
Lineage: Eukaryota; Metazoa; Chordata; Aves; Passeriformes; Corvidae
Exons: 2
Source: RefSeq, a predicted model, not a curated record
CAAGGGCCAGGGCGCCCUGCCCAGCCCGUGCCGGGGACAGGACCUGCAGCCAUCGCGCACACAGGGGCCCUGCACCCUCGGCGACACAGAGUGAGAGGGCUCAGGGACAAGACCCCCACCAGAGCGGGCACAGGCCACCAUCACCUCAGCGGGAGAGCUGCCAAGACCACGCUGAUCGCUCUCCCUCGGCGACGGGAACUCCAGGUUAGUCCUGCAGAAACCGGGCCAAAAUGUCCAACUGUUUAUCUCGCCGUAACGAGGUUUGGUUCCCAUGGCAGCGCGCCCCGGGAUGGCUCCACACAGCGCAGCGUGCAGGCAACGGGCACCGAUGCCGCCGGGGCCCUCUCCAGAACACAGCUCCUGCUAGAAGGGGCACACUGACCUCUGGAAACACCUGCCCUCACCACAGCCCCACCACCCCAGGCCCUGCUCUCCCACCCACGCUGCCCCCUCCUCCCAAGCCCCAGUAUUUGUGACAGCAGGUGACAAUCACUUGCCGGUCACGGGAAAGCUCGGUGCCUGCAGCCCCUCCUCAGCAGGACCUGCGCCAUGGAGAUGCUGAGGGGAUGAAGUGGGAGGCACCAAGGAGACAGCGGGGGGGCAGCAGGGAGGCUGGGAAGGCAAAGUGGGACCAGCAGCAUCAUCCCACUCACAGCCAGGGGAGGCACGGCACCACCUGGGCUGUGCCAGCAACAUGGACGUAGUCAGAGGCACUGGGGGAAAUGCCCAUUGCAUUGUGUCCAAAAAUUAAUCCAGACCAAGAACUGACAUUUCACAUUACAUUAAACCAAAAUAAAUCUUCUCUCUUUUUCA